Molecule: ribosomal RNA, 857 nt
Filed under: Escherichia coli
Lineage: Bacteria; Pseudomonadati; Pseudomonadota; Gammaproteobacteria; Enterobacterales; Enterobacteriaceae
Description: partial 23S ribosomal RNA
Rfam family: Bacterial large subunit ribosomal RNA
Source: RNAcentral
AAUGGGUCAGCGACUUAUAUUCUGUAGCAAGGUUAACCGAAUAGGGGAGCCGAAGGGAAACCGAGUCUUAACUGGGCGUUAAGUUGCAGGGUAUAGACCCGAAACCCGGUGAUCUAGCCAUGGGCAGGUUGAAGGUUGGGUAACACUAACUGGAGGACCGAACCGACUAAUGUUGAAAAAUUAGCGGAUGACUUGUGGCUGGGGGUGAAAGGCCAAUCAAACCGGGAGAUAGCUGGUUCUCCCCGAAAGCUAUUUAGGUAGCGCCUCGUGAAUUCAUCUCCGGGGGUAGAGCACUGUUUCGGCAAGGGGGUCAUCCCGACUUACCAACCCGAUGCAAACUGCGAAUACCGGAGAAUGUUAUCACGGGAGACACACGGCGGGUGCUAACGUCCGUCGUGAAGAGGGAAACAACCCAGACCGCCAGCUAAGGUCCCAAAGUCAUGGUUAAGUGGGAAACGAUGUGGGAAGGCCCAGACAGCCAGGAUGUUGGCUUAGAAGCAGCCAUCAUUUAAAGAAAGCGUAAUAGCUCACUGGUCGAGUCGGCCUGCGCGGAAGAUGUAACGGGGCUAAACCAUGCACCGAAGCUGCGGCAGCGACACUAAGUGUUGUUGGGUAGGGGAGCGUUCUGUAAGCCUGUGAAGGUGUACUGUGAGGUAUGCUGGAGGUAUCAGAAGUGCGAAUGCUGACAUAAGUAACGAUAAAGCGGGUGAAAAGCCCGCUCGCCGGAAGACCAAGGGUUCCUGUCCAACGUUAAUCGGGGCAGGGUGAGUCGACCCCUAAGGCGAGGCCGAAAGGCGUAGUCGAUGGGAAACAGGUUAAUAUUCCUGUACUUGGUGUUACUGCGAAGGGGGGACGGA